AGCUCGGGGUCUGAGCCAUGUCUGUGGUCUACACCGCAGCUUGUGGCAGUGCCGGAUUCUUAACCUACCGAGCGAGGCCAGGGAUCGAACCCCCUUCCUCAUGGAUCCUUGUCAGGUUCGUAACCCCUGAGCCACGACGGGAACUCCACAAACCACACUGCUGUGAUUACCGUCGCUUUGUCGGAAUUACUGAAAUUGGGAAGCGUGGAUCCUCCGACUUCUUUAUUUCAACACUGUCUUGGCUUUUUAAGGCCCUUUAUGCUGCUUUCUGAAUUUGAGGACUGGCUCUUCCAUUGCUGCGGAGCGGACUUCUGGAGCCCUGACAGCGACUGUACUGAACCUGCAGACGGCUUUGGAGGUGACGCCGUCGUCACGGUAUGAAGUCUCCCUGCCCAGGAACAAAGCAUGUCCUUCCACGUACUCGGAAUUCCAUGCUACGGAUUUCUGAGUUUUUCCUGCUUGAAUUUGUUGAGCUUCUUGUACAGCAGGCACAUGAUCCAGCCAGGGUCAGACUGAACUGCCAACCUACCCGCUGUGCGCCGUGGUUCCAGGUUUCGUCGUCUCACCAGAGCGCGUCUGAAACCUGCGAACACUGGUCACUGGGGACAGGAGCACGGAGGCGGGUCCACCUGGGUCUUUCCACCCCCGCACGCGGUGCAGCCUCACCUCCGCUCGGGCCUCAACUCACCACGCGGUGAUGGCACGGAGCCUCCAGAGCUGCCUCAGCCCACGGGACGGCACGGGGCCCAGACGCGCGCCUCCCCCAGCGGCUGCCACCCUCUGCUCUGAGGAGCUCGUCGGCUUCUACGAACCGAAGGCCUCCUCUCUCGACUCCUUUCUCGGGUGGAGGAAGGUCACCCUGCAGGACGGCGGUCGCCUCCCCCUCCGCUCCAUUCACUUCGGCGUGAACUACGGCAUCACCAGAGCGGCUCCUCCGGAGCAAGAAGGGGCCGCGACCUAAAGCACUGGAAGCAGGGAUCCGCCGCGGACCCCGGCCCCAAAGGCGCGGCCGUCCAGGCCGCUGUCCGCACCGCCCUGCCUGUCUCUAGGGAGGGCGCCACUCUUCGCUCCGUGGGAACUGUCCUUGAAGGCGGUGCCACACCCCGGGUGACGGGCCGGGACCUGCGUGCCCGCCUGCCCCUUAGACACGGUUUCCGUCUCACAGGACGACGUGGCUCAGCUGCUUUGCAACGUCCCUUCCCAGGCUGAGCGCUGAGCCUGCAGGAGAAACGGCAGCUACGGGCUGUUCAACUCCAACUCGACGGCAACAGCCAGGCUGACUCAGCGGGGCCUGCGACCGGAGCCUGUGCCCGGGCACACGCGCUCCCCCUUCCCGCGGUGGAGCCCGGAGCUGGCACUGCUGUCGUCACAGCCGCUCCUUCCGACACUUGUUCCAGCGCACGAGGCCUCUGGCGAGCUCCGAACAGAGCAGUGCCUGCUUAAGCUUAUCCAAAGGACAAUGAUACUCUGUAUUCAAUUAAAAUUAAUAAAAAUAUUUUAUUGAGUUUCAGGA
Molecule: long non-coding RNA, 1513 nt
Filed under: Sus scrofa (pig)
Lineage: Eukaryota; Metazoa; Chordata; Mammalia; Artiodactyla; Suidae
Description: lncRNA (ENSSSCG00040019812.1)
Source: RNAcentral